RNAcentral lists this ribosomal RNA (368 nucleotides) under Glomeromycotina sp. RNAcentral describes it as "partial large subunit ribosomal RNA". Lineage: Eukaryota; Fungi; Glomeromycota. The record is from RNAcentral.
UUGAAAGGGAAACGAUUGAAGUCAGUCAUGCUAAUAGGGAAUCAACUUGAUGGGUCGUUCCCCCGGGAGCAAUCUUUCUUGUGCACUUCCUUGUUCGGCAGGUUAGUAUCAAUUUCGGUUGUCAUUAAAAAAUUGAGGGAAUGUGACUUCUUUCGGGAAGUGUUAUAGACCUUGAUAUAUGUGGUGAUCGGGAUUGAGGAUUGCAGCGGAUGCUUUUGGGCUAGUCACCUACCUUCUGACGGUUACCCCGCUUUCGAUAGCUUGCUAACGACUGUGGGAUUUAACAGUCUAGAUGUUGGAGUGUAUCUUAUAUUCGCUAAGGAUGCUGACGUAAUGGCUUUAAACGACCCGUCUUGAAACACGGACCA